CCUACGGGAGGCUGCAGUGAGGAAUAUUGGUCAAUGGACGAGAGCCUGAACCAGCCAAGUAGCGUGAAGGAUGACUGCCCUAUGGGUUGUAAACUUCUUUUAUAAGGAAUAAAACGAGGCACGUGUGCCUUUUUGCAUGUACUUUAUGAAUAAGGACCGGCUAACUCCGUGCCAGCAGCCGCGGUAAUACGGAGGAUCCGAGCGUUAUCCGGAUUUAUGGGGUGUAAAGGGAGCGUAGAUGGGUUGUUAAGUCAGUUGUGAAAGUUUGGGGCUCAACCGGAAAAUUGCAAUUGAUACUGGCAGUCUUGAGUACAGUAGAGGUAGGCGGAAUUCGUGGUGUAGCGGUGAAAUGCUUAGAUAUCACGAAGAACCCCGAUGGCGAAGGCAGCUUACUAAACUGUGACUGACAUUGAUGCUCGAAAGUGUGGGUAUCAAACAGGAUUAGAUACCCUGGUAGUC
Molecule: ribosomal RNA, 459 nt
Filed under: uncultured bacterium
Lineage: Bacteria
Description: partial 16S ribosomal RNA
Rfam family: Bacterial small subunit ribosomal RNA
Source: RNAcentral